Helianthus annuus (common sunflower) is the source of this 1674-nucleotide long non-coding RNA. RefSeq lists it as uncharacterized. The record is from RefSeq and is a predicted model, not a curated record. Lineage: Eukaryota; Viridiplantae; Streptophyta; Magnoliopsida; Asterales; Asteraceae. The transcript has 5 exons.
UUCGUAAGUGUGUUCAACGCGUCUUUGCUGUACCCGUAUGAAACCCUAAUCUGGCAAUUCAACUUUUCCACUCCAACCAUCAUCUACGGCAAUCUUUUCUCUCAUAUAUUCAAAACCCCCAAUUCAUCUAAACCCUAAUCUUCCCAUACCAGUGUGUUCUUGAUUCAAACAUAAAGAUCUCACAAAACUUCAUCAUCAAGAAUAUCAUUCAAGAUCUCUCACCAGAUGCCGUUUCAUGACCAGAUCUGUGAGGAUUUCACCAGAUCGAUUAAGGUCUGCAACCCUUGGGGGACGGGAGAGAGUGACGGUGGUGAUGAUCCGGUUACAGGCUUCUAUACGGUGUGACAGUGGUGGUCCUUAACAGCCACCAUACAUUGUUGACGGUUCCUUGGUUAAAAUGAGGCAAAGGACAAUGCCAGAAAACCGUAGCCGCCGCUUCCCGCGGUGGUAGCUAGGGUUCCGGCGAAGUCUCCAACGAAGCUCCGAGUUGAUACUUUCAAGAUUGAUCAUCUUCAUACGAGGCUGUUGCUGACUUGUCAACACCACAAGAUGGGAAGGUAACUGAGAACGGAAAGAAGAGAAAACGAAACAAUCAGUCGAACGAAGAGGGUGAUUUGGUCAAAAGAGGAAAGUGCUUGGAAGGGAGGUUUAUUUCUUAUAUGAUAUAAUAAUUUGGCUGCUUUAGUUUAGAUGUUUGAGAAUGUAAUAAAGAUCAAUAUUUUGCAUCAUCUUUUACCCCGAACAAAUGCCACACGCUAUCAUGUUACUCAGGUUAUGAUGAUUGCUGUCUAUGUGAUACUUCCGGUAUAGGACUAUUGAAGCGUUGCAUGAUUUGUGGAAUUGUAAACUAUAAUUAUGUAUAAGGAUGUUAUAAACUAUGAUUGUGGCAAUGAUUUCUCAUUUAGAAACAAAAUCGGAAGCGGUACUUACAUAAAUGUAGAAAAUUGUGAAUGGAGCAUCUAAUGUUCAUUAAUUUUGUUCAACUAACAGGACGGCCUUUGGAUGAUGCAGUUGCUGAGUGUAACCUUUUUAUCACUUGCUUCCAAAGUGGAAGAAACUGAAAUUCCCACAAUUUUGGAUUUGCAGGUUGGUGAAUCAAGAUUUGUGUUUGAAGCAAAAACAAUUCAGAAAAUGGAAUUGAUUGUUUUGAGCACAUUGAAGUGGAGAAUGCAAUCAGUGACUCAAUUUUCCUUCAUUGAUUCAUUCAUUAGAAAGGUUAAUGAUGAUGGUCAAAGUCAAACCAAUUUAAGAUCUUUAAUCUUGAGGUCUACCCAGAUUAUUUUAGGUUUGAUCCAAGGGAAAGAAAGCAAAUUUUGCUUAAAAACAAUCACUUUAUGUCAAGGUUGAGUUUCUUGAAUUAUACGUAAAAAAUAUGGUAAAAUUGUAAUUUGACAAUUUAUGCCAUUUAAGUUUAAAAGAAGACAAUUUCCUAUUGCUGUAUGCUUUGCCAUGACGAUAAAUAAAAGUCAAGGUCAAUCGUUAUCCAAAGUAGGUCUUUUUCUCAGACAACCAGUCUUUUCUCAUGGUCAGCUUUACGUCGCUUUGUCUAGAGUUAAAAGCAGAGAUGGACUCAAACUCGUAAUUGUUGAUAAAGAUGGUCAACUUACGAAUACGACACUGAAUGUUGUAUAUAAAGAAGUUUUUAGAGAUCUGUAAUUUGUAUUUGUGUCUAUA